AUGGGCAGAGAUCAAUGUGCUGAUAGUCUCUGUGUUUCUUUUCAGUCACUAAGUAUGAGGACUACUAUGCAGAUGUUUCAGGCAUGGAGGACGCAUCCAAUGCCCAGUUCACCGAGGGUGGAGAGCAAUCCAGGAGCUGAUCAAAGGCUCAGACCCCUAAGGAUGCUAGGGCAGAAGAGCCAACCAGAGAGGGAACUGGACACGAGGCUCCCCCGCAGCCUGGCCCUGGGCAGCUGCCCACCAGCAUCUGCAUCUCCUCCACCUGUCCCUAAAUCUGGGGGCAAAGACUCAGCUCCCAGGGAGUCUUCCAGGCACAAAGAAGGUCCUUCUGAGACAGGACGACCACAUCUGGAGAGGAGAAAUCAAGUGAGAUCCAUGGGGCAGAGACCUUUCCUGAGAAAGCUCUUGUCAUCGCUGCAGUAAUCCAAAGCAUGUGUUGUCAGACCCUGCUCUAAAUGCAUCAUGUGUGUUAACUCCUUUGAUCCUUGCAAGAACACAGGGAGGUGGGUGUAGUAUUGUCUGCAUCUUACAGAUACGAAAACAGAAGUACAGGGAGGCUAAGUGACUUGUUCAAAGUCACACAGUUAUUAAGUGGUAGACCCUGGAUUUGAACAUAGGUAUUCUGGGUCCAGAGUCCAGGCUCCUAACCCACAUGCUCUGCUACUUCUUGGAAAGUGAUGUUCAAACUUGAUAUUGAAAGACGCUUCCACUCUGUACUUCCUGAAUGUCCCCCAAAAGGCCUAUGUGUUGAAAAGUUUGUCCCCAGCUUGUGGCACUACUGGCAGGUUAAUGGAACCUUUAAAAGCUGGGUCCUGGUGUGAGGAAGUUAGGUCAUUGGGCUGUUCCCUUGAAGGAGAUCCCUUGACUUGAGAUCCCAGCCCCUUCUUGUCUCUUUCUUUGCUUCCCAGCACCAAAGGCAAAUAGGUUUCUCUGUCACAUGCUUCCACCAUGACACACUGUACGAACACGGGCACAAAGCACCAAGGCCAGGUGACCAUGGACUAAAGCCACUGAAAUGUGAGCCAGAAUAAACUAUCC
RNAcentral lists this long non-coding RNA (1038 nucleotides) under Fukomys damarensis (Damara mole-rat). RNAcentral's name for it is "lncRNA (ENSFDAG00000025075.1)". Lineage: Eukaryota; Metazoa; Chordata; Mammalia; Rodentia; Bathyergidae. The record is from RNAcentral.